Long non-coding RNA from Cydia fagiglandana, 1369 nucleotides. RefSeq lists it as uncharacterized. The record is from RefSeq and is a predicted model, not a curated record. Lineage: Eukaryota; Metazoa; Arthropoda; Insecta; Lepidoptera; Tortricidae. The transcript is spliced from 3 exons.
UGGAGAGUUUUUGAUUAAUUUAAAACUUAUUAUUUUAGGUAUUUUGUGACGAAAGGUCUUCACAGACAUCGACAGAAAAUCGGGAAAGCCCGGCCAGAUGCGUCAGACCACGCAAAAUGGAGGAUUCCAUGCCUACUUGUCUUCUUCUACCAUGUAUAGGAACGCAUGAAAAACGAAAGUUUAAAAGAUAAUAAAUUUACGAUGGCUGUGGGAAAGCAACAAUAAUUUAAAGCAUCGAUAUAAGAUAAUCAUCUAUAAACUGUUUUCGGCCAUAGCGAAUACGUUUACCGCUAAGAAUGUCUCAAAGUAAAAAAAAGAAGUUCAAUAUACUGGCAUUGGUUUCACCAAGAACGAUGAGCGAGAAGCGAUUAGAAAUAUAAAACUGGAAACGAGUUGGGGCGUCCGGCUGCGACCGAAGCGAGUUUUUGAAUGCGAGUUUGACGUUUUAAACACCGUAUUUAAGGUUAAUAAGGUCUACAAGCUUCGAGAAGGAGGUCAACCGCCGAAUCCAACUUGGUUGGGCAGCGUUCGGGAAACUACGUAAUGUCUUUUCGUCCGACAUACCUCAGUGCCUCAAGACGAAAGUCUUUAAUCAAUGUGUGUUACCAGUGAUGACUUACGGCUCCGAAACGUGGUCUUUCACUAUCGGCCCCAUCUCAAAAUUCAAAGUCGCUCAACGAGCUAUGGAGAGGGCUAUGCUCGGAGUUUCUCUGCGUGAUCGAAUCAGAAAUGAGGAGAUCCGUAGACGAACUAAAGUCACCGACAUAGCCCACCGGAUUAGCAGGCUGAAGUGGCAAUGGGCAGGCCACAUUGCGUGCAGAGAAGAUGGCCGAUGGAGUCGAAAAGUGCUCGAGUGGAGACCACGGACUAGCAAACGCAGCGUAGGACGUCCACCCACAAGAUGGACGGACGACCUUGUUAAGGCCGCCGGAAGACGCUGGAUGCGGAUCGCUUCCAACCGGUACGAGUGGAGGUCCAAGGGGGAGGCCUAUGUUCAGCAGUGGACGUCUUAUGGCUGAGAUGAUGAUGAUGAUGAUGAAGGUCUACAAGCAAAUAUCAGCCUUCGUGAAUUAAGUAUUGUAACCUUAGUCACAGAAUAGUAGUACAGUGGAACCUCGAUAGCACGGAUCUCAAGGGAAACGCCAAAACUUCGUGUUAACGAGGUUUUAUCUUAUAGAGUGCAUCGACUUAGAGAGGUUCUUGUAGGUUUUUGUUAGUCUUAAAAACACAUUAAAAUUCGUAUUAGGCAGGUGAUUAUACAUAGACACGUAAAAAUACAGUUUCUUUUUUUUUGAGUUACAGAGGUUCGUUAGUAAUAUCGAUAUAGAUGUGGUAAAACAAUACGACUAUUUUUUCUAGUCGCAUGGUC